AUGUCGACCACGAACCCGCUGUUCCAGCCAUUCCGGCACAAAUCGCUUUCACUGCCCAAUCGCGUGGUGAUGGCGCCGAUGACGCGCUCUAAGAGCCCGGACGGGACCCCCGGUGAGGAUGUCGCGACCUACUAUCGCCGCCGCGCGGAGGGCGGCGUCGGGUUGAUCAUCACCGAAGGAACCACGGUCGAUCGCGCAGGCGCAU
Molecule: unclassified non-coding RNA, 205 nt
Filed under: Hevea brasiliensis (rubber tree)
Lineage: Eukaryota; Viridiplantae; Streptophyta; Magnoliopsida; Malpighiales; Euphorbiaceae
Source: RNAcentral